Molecule: ribosomal RNA, 746 nt
Filed under: uncultured cyanobacterium
Lineage: Bacteria; Bacillati; Cyanobacteriota
Description: bacterial SSU rRNA
Rfam family: Bacterial small subunit ribosomal RNA
Source: RNAcentral
AGAGUUUGAUCAUGGCUCAGGAUGAACGCUGGCGGUCUGCUUAACACAUGCAAGUCGAACGGGUGUAGAAAUACAUUAGUGGCGGACGGGUGAGUAACGCGUGAGAAUCUGGCUUUGGGUUCGGGACAACCACUGGAAACGGUGGCUAAUACCGGAUGUGCCGAAAGGUGAAAGGUUAACCGCCUGAAGAUGAGCUCGCGUCUGAUUAGCUAGUUGGUGUGGUAAGAGCGCACCAAGGCGACGAUCAGUAGCUGGUCUGAGAGGAUGAUCAGCCACACUGGGACUGAGACACGGCCCAGACUCCUACGGGAGGCAGCAGUGGGGAAUUUUCCGCAAUGGGCGAAAGCCUGACGGAGCAAGACCGCGUGAGGGAAGAAGGCUCUUGGGUCGUAAACCUCUUUUGUCAGGGAAGAACACAAUGACGGUACCUGAAGAAUCAGCAUCGGCUAACUCCGUGCCAGCAGCCGCGGUAAUACGGAGGAUGCAAGCGUUAUCCGGAAUUAUUGGGCGUAAAGCGUCCGUAGGUGGUUUUGCAAGUCGGCUGUCAAAGCACAGGGCUUGACCCUGUAAAGGCAGUGGAAACUACAAGACUCGAGUGCAGUAGGGGCAGAGGGAAUUCCCAGUGUAGCGGUGAAAUGCGUAGAGAUUGGGAAGAACACCCGUGGCGAAAGCGCUCUGCUGGACUGCAACUGACACUCAGGGACGAAAGCUAGGGGAGCGAAUGGGAUUAGAUACCCCCGUAGUCC